AGUGAACGCUGGCGGUAGGCCUAACACAUGCCAGUCGAACGGCAGCACAGUAAGAGCUUGCUCUUACGGGUGGCGAGUGGCGGACGGGUGAGGAAUACAUCGGAAUCUACUUUUUCGUGGGGGAUAACGUAGGGAAACUACGCUAAUACCGCAUACGACCUACGGGUGAAAGCAGGGGAUCUUCCGACCUUGCGCGAUUGAAUGAGCCGAUGUCGGAUUAGCUAGUUGGCGGGGUAAAGGCCCACCAAGGCGACGAUCCGUAGCUGGUCUGAGAGGAUGAUCAGCCACACUGGAACUGAGACACGGUCCAGACUCCUACGGGAGGCAGCAGUGGGGAAUAUUGGACAAUGGGCGCAAGCCUGAUCCAGCCAUACCGCGUGGGUGAAGAAGGCCUUCGGGUUGUAAAGCCCUUUUGUUGGGAAAGAAAAGCAGCAGGUUAAUACCCCGCUGUUCUGACGGUACCCAAAGAAUAAGCACCGGCUAACUUCGUG
This 491-nucleotide ribosomal RNA is filed under the name uncultured bacterium. RNAcentral's name for it is "partial 16S ribosomal RNA". It matches the Rfam family "Bacterial small subunit ribosomal RNA", at positions 29 to 507 of the family's 1533-position model. The record is from RNAcentral.